GAUGAACGCUGGCGGCGUGCCUAAUACAUGCAAGUCGAGCGAACAGACGAGGAGCUUGCUCCUCUGACGUUAGCGGCGGACGGGUUAGUAACACGUGGAUAACCUACCUAUAAGACUGGGAUAACUUCGGGAAACCGGAGCUAAUACCGGAUAAUAUAUUGAACCGCAUGGUUCAAUAGUGAAAGACGGUUUUGCUGUCACUUAUAGAUGGAUCCGCGCCGCAUUAGCUAGUUGGUAAGGUAACGGCUUACCAAGGCAACGAUGCGUAGCCGACCUGAGAGGGUGAUCGGCCACACUGGAACUGAGACACGAUCCAGACUCCUACGGGAGGCAGCAGUAGGGAAUCUUCCGCAAUGGGCGAAAGCCUGACGGAGCAACGCCGCGUGAGUGAUGAAGGUCUUCGGAUCGUAAAACUCUGUUAUUAGGGAAGAACAAAUGUGUAAGUAACUAUGCACGUCUUGACGGUACCUAAUCAGAAAGCCACGGCUAACUACGUG
This 497-nucleotide ribosomal RNA is filed under the name uncultured bacterium. RNAcentral's name for it is "partial 16S ribosomal RNA". It matches the Rfam family "Bacterial small subunit ribosomal RNA", at positions 28 to 507 of the family's 1533-position model. The record is from RNAcentral.